Molecule: ribosomal RNA, 385 nt
Filed under: uncultured bacterium
Lineage: Bacteria
Description: bacterial SSU rRNA
Rfam family: Bacterial small subunit ribosomal RNA
Source: RNAcentral
AUUGAACGCUGGCGGUAUGCAUAACACAUGCAAGUCGAACGGUAGCAGGUCUAGCUUGCUAGAUGCUGACGAGUGGCGGACGGGUGAGUAACGCGUAGGAAUCUGCCUUAUAGUGGGGGAUAACCUGGGGAAACUCAGGCUAAUACCGCAUAAGCCCGAGGGUGAAAGUGUGGGACCUGAAAAGGCCACAUGCUAUAAGAUGAGCCUGCGUAGGAUUAGCUAGUUGGUGGGUAAAGGCUUACCAAGGCAAAGAUCCUUAACUGGUCUGAGAGGACGACCAGUCACACUGGGACUGAGACACGGCCCAGACUCCUACGGGAGGCAGCAGUGGGGAAUUUUGGGACAAUGGGGGCAACCCUGAUCCAGCAAUGCCGCGUGAGUGAGG